CAGAAAAAGACAGUGGUUAGAGUUGUUACAUAUUCAUUUUUACAAUUGAAACUAUAACUAUGAUCAUUGUUUGUGACAAAAAGGUUCUAGAAAGAGAAGUAAUGAAUGUGCUCAUCUGCUGAGUGGUUGAACAUCUGCUGAGUGGUUGAACAUCUGCUGAGUGGUUGAACAUCUGCUGAGUGGUUGAACAUCUGCUGAGUGGUUAAAUGUUUGUGUUUCGAUUGAGGUGGAUGGGAACCCAGACUAUGACAACCUGGACAUCAGUAUGUGUGUGUUUCAGUGAGGUGGAUGGGAACCCAGACUACGACAACCUGGACAUCAUGAGGUGGAUGGGAACCCAGACUACGACAACCUGGACAUCGUAAACCGAGAUGCAGAGGAAAAGUACUUUGAUGAGGAGGAGGAGGAAGAGGAUGAAUCAGAAGAGAAAGAGAUGUCUCAGUAGUUGUCAUGACAGCAGCUGUUUAUGGCAUGUAAAUAUGAAACUAACCCUUUUGUAAAAACUCAGUAGAUUUCAAAUCACUAUCAGCAUUCAUUUGGUUGUAUAAUUAUCAAUAAAUCAUGUUUGUUUAAGUUA
This is a long non-coding RNA of Esox lucius (northern pike), 577 nucleotides long. The record is from Ensembl. Lineage: Eukaryota; Metazoa; Chordata; Actinopteri; Esociformes; Esocidae.